RNAcentral lists this ribosomal RNA (477 nucleotides) under uncultured bacterium. RNAcentral describes it as "partial 16S ribosomal RNA". It matches the Rfam family "Bacterial small subunit ribosomal RNA", at positions 28 to 507 of the family's 1533-position model. The record is from RNAcentral.
GAUGAACGCUGGCGGCGUGCCUAAUACAUGCAAGUCGAGCGAACGGACGAGAAGCUUGCGUCUCUGAUGUUAGCGGCGCACGGGUGAGUAACACGUGGAUAACCUACCUAUAAUACUGGGAUAACUACGGGAAACCGGAUCUAAUACCGGAUAAUAUUUUGAACCGCAUGGUUCAAAAGUGAAAGACGGUCUUGCGGUCAGUUAUAGAUGGAUCCGCGCUUCAUUAGCUAGUUGGUAGGGUAAGGGCUUACCAAGGCAACGAUGCGUAGCCGACCUGAGAGGGUGACCGGCCACAUUGGGACUGAGAUACGGCCCAGACUCGUACGGGAGGCAGCAGGGGGGAAUAUUGCACAAUGGGCGGAAGCCUGAUGCAGCAACGCCGCGUGCGGGAUGACGGCCUUCGGGUUGUAAACCGCUUUCGCCUGUGACGAAGCGUGAGUGACGGUAAUGGGUAAAGAAGCACCGGCUAACUACGUG